CUUGAGUUAUAAACAUAAGAGGUCCAGCCUGCCCAGUGAUUAAAUUUAACGGCCGCGGUAUCCUAACCGUGCGAAGGUAGCGUAAUCACUUGUUCUUUAAAUGAGGACUAGUAUGAAUGGCACCACGAAGGUUUUACUGUCUCCUUUUCCUAAUCAGUGAAACUAAUCUUCCCGUGAAGAAGCGGGAAUAAACGAAUAAGACGAGAAGACCCUAUGGAGCUUUAAACACAAUAACAAAUACUACUUUAAACAAAAAUUUCUUAAUGACUUACUCCCUGGUAUUAUGAUUAUUAGUUUUAGGUUGGGGUGACCGCGGAGAAAAACACAACCUCCACAUUGAAUGAUAAAAUUCUAAGCAAAGAAUUACAUUUCCACGUAUCAAUACAUUGACAUCAAUUGACCCAAUUAUUUUGAUCAACGAAC
This 423-nucleotide ribosomal RNA is filed under the name Atelopus hoogmoedi group sp. ABGD cluster 1. RNAcentral's name for it is "partial large subunit ribosomal RNA". It matches the Rfam family "Bacterial large subunit ribosomal RNA", at positions 1822 to 2457 of the family's 2925-position model. Lineage: Eukaryota; Metazoa; Chordata; Amphibia; Anura; Bufonidae. The record is from RNAcentral.